AGUCUUGUUAUAAUUAUCUUGUUACCAGUAAGGUUAACUUUCCUUAUAGAAUGAUGUGGGUUCUCAAGCUUCCCUUAGAAAUAAGCUUCUUUGCUGGUUGGUGAUUAGGAAUCAAGUUCUGACCAAAGAAAAUAUGGACAAAAAGGAUGGAAGGACUCUGACCUGUGUUGAAGAAACCUGCGGAUUUCCCCUCCUAUGUUUUUGCUUAGGUUCNNNNNNNNNNNNNNNNNNNNNNNNNNNNNNNNNNNNNNNNNNNNNNNNNNNNNNNNNNNNNNNNNNNNNNNNNNNNNNNNNNNNNNNNNNNNNNNNNNNNAGAGAGGGAAGCACCAUAAGGCUCAACACCUCUGGCGUAGAUCCAUCCAGUCGCCGGAUCAAAGAAGACCCGACCUGGUCAGCGACGAAAGCCACCAUCCUGUGCCGGCCGGCAGCGAUCAGGCACCGGAUCCAGAAGGAUCGGACCCGAGACCGAUGGCGCACGCGACCACCAGAUCCAGCGGCCGCACCACGCCGCGAGCACGAACCCCAACCGCCGGCGCGCUGCGCACGUCGCGGCCAGGAUCCAUCUGCAGCGCCGCCGCACCCCGCAAAAGUACGGCGCCUCCUCUCGAACGGCCGUCCCGCGCCAGCCCAUUCGGGGGAAGGAGAAGGGAGCCCCGCCGCCGCCCCUGCCGGCCUGGCUUCGCCCAGCGGCGCUGCUGGCGGCGGCGAGGAUGGAGAAGAUGCGGGGGAGUCCGGGCGCCGGCGGCUAGGGUUUCCCCUGGUCGCCCGCGGGGGCGACCCGAGGGGUAUACAGAGGACUGUCAUUUUGAUACACUCCCAACAAUUGGUAAAGGCUGUGGCCAACAUUCUGCAUUACAUUUGAUCAUUUGAUACACUCCCAAGAGUCUAUUAUAUACCUUCCUCACUCUCCAUAUAUCUUACUAAUUAUUCCUUUUUAGGGAAACGUAUUAACUAUUCUAAGAUAUCUCAGUAUAUAUAGUAUGUGUGCUUGAGCGUAUAAUUAGCUAUUGUGUGCUCCAGGCAGACUGCGUGCACCAUUCCCCAAGCCCUGAACCAGCCCAGUGCAAAGGCCACUCACUUGCACAUCAUACAUGACUAAGGUGUACGUAGUAAAUCAUGUUAACCUCUUUACGACACACACACCUGGACAAAAAAUCAACGAUAAUCCUAUGGAACAUCCAAUAAAAACUAGGAAUCUCUAGUAAAAGACAUGAAGACGAAAAAUCAACGCCUUCCAUUUAGCUCUGGUCCUAAACUAUACUUUUUUAGGGGUGUUAUGCUCAUAAAAACUGAAGUAAGCGUGAGGUUCCCGUAAAAUUGGAUCAAAGUUUACCACCCCUAUGUUCUUCUAAUUAGAUCGUAAAAUCUGGCUCAAUUCUAGUAAAUAUUGGACCAACAUUUAGCACAUUUUCUAUGAACAUAUUAAUUACAUAGUAAAAUCUGACUCAGUUCUCAUAAAUACUGAACCCGAUUUUACUAACCUUUUAUGAUAAAGAUAAAAUUUUACAAUCUGUGUGAACAUAAAGUAUCUCUUUGCCUAGAUUGUAGUAUAAAUUCAUAAUGAUAAAUGUUAAAUAAACUUUUGCCUUGGCUAAAUUGGAUAAUGAAGUCGAAAAAAUUACCUCGAAUUUCAUGGAUUUUACAAACAUCUAGAAGUUUUGUUCAAUGUAUUGUGUACAGAUAGGAAUACCUUUUCACAAAUAAUUUACGAUGGAAUCAUACAAGUACAAGUUAGGGCUCAUCUCCAGAUUUCGGUUGUUAGCCUUGCUUAAGUACUUCCACUAUUUUAUGCCGCCUAGUAUUUUUUUUAUAAUUUAUGCCGCCUGGCAUAUAAUGGAUAGUAAUUUGCACAUGGCAUUGCCACCAAAACUAAGAAAGGUAUCAGGUGGAAUGGGUGGGCUUGCAAGGCGUAGGCAGUAUCUUUUCCAUCUAUUACCAUGUUUCCCAUAGUUCUUUUACGGGUAGGUGGAAGGAAGGAGCAGGAGUGGUGCGUGCAGCUCUGGCCAGAGCACAGAAUUAGCUGAUUCCACUCAACAUCUGACACCACUUACAACAUCUAACACCCAACGUCGACUAAUAUUAUCAUAAAUCUGUAUAUUUUUAAAUUUACAUUUGAGAUGUUAAAUUGAGUAAGAACAACCAUUUUUCACUUGGAACUUCAAAUAUUGCAUUGAUCUUCCAAGUGUAUAUUUGUCAAACUAUAGUAUUAUAUGUACCAUGCAUCAUAUCUUUGUGUCUACUACUCCCUCCGUCCCAAAAUAAGUUUUUAGUACAAAGUUGAGACACUUAUUUUUGGACGGAAGGAGUACAAUAUUAGAUUGAUGCACAAUCAUUCAGAUAUGUCAAACCUGAUGGGUAUGGGCAUGAGUCCAAUUGUAGACCCAUGGGUAGGGUUGUGGGCGAAUGAUGGGUAUGGGUAUGGAUUUGACAACAUCUUUAACCAGAGGCAAGAGACAACUUCUUGACAGUUCCCACACCACACUUGGGCUCGCUGUGCAAAUGGGUAACCUUUAGGGUACCCUCCAACGCUCUUCAAUUCAAUCAAAUGAAGUAAAUUUCCAACUUUUGGAAAGCUCAUUUGGCUGAAAUAAAGAGGGAUGGAGGGUACCCUAAGGAGCACCAAUUUUCACCCCUACUUGGGGCACAAGUAUGCAUCAGUCUGCAAAAUGUACAAUUAGUCACUUCCUGGCAAAAGGUUGAGACCCUUGCUGCACUAGGAACCAACUCAGACUUCUCGAACCAAGUAGUGCAGCAGGGGUUUAUCACAAAGUGAACCACCAAGUCAAAUGAUCCGUUAGUUGGGUGAAAUAACAAGUGCUCAGAAGAACAGAAAAGUCUUGAUCACUACCAAGAAAAUACUACAUUUGGCACCACUGCCAAGUUGUUCUAUGUAUUAAUCUAAUAGUUGAGAGAUAUGGUUUAUUCAAGUAACCAAAAGAUAUUGUAGAAGGCACACCAAUAGCGAUAUCGUUGGAGAAAUCAGAGUUUAGAGUGCAGGGUAGUCCAAGAGAAUAAUAGGCUAGUCAGUGGCAUUGGCCAAGGGUGAGGACGACAAGGGCUUGGCGAGGAAGGAGGAGCAGCUCGUCGUCAGCUAGCCACUGGCCUGCCGCCGCCGCAGGAGGAGCAGUUGCCGGGUAGGUAGCCUAGGGUUGCUGGUUUCCUCUUAACUAGGCUGGGCCGGAUCCAAGACGUACUGACCAAGUGUAUGUAUCCUUGAAUUAUCAGAAUUAUUUUAAAUCAUUUAUUCACGGAUACUCUCUGGAUACGUAUCCAGGAUGUAUCGCAGGGGUAUCCGUGUCGUAUAUUGUAUCCGAUAAGGAUUCGCUGGUUCCUUGACGUAUCCGUGCAUUCGAGGCUGGGUUUACGCAGAUCCCUACUAAAUCAAACAGGCCCUUGGUAGUUUCAGGAGGGCUUACGUCAAUGAAGUGAACAACAAUAAAUAUGGCGAGUUUGUGACUAGUCAGCAGAUCAGACAGAACACAAAAUUCUUACUGAAUGAACCCAUAUUCCCACAAUCUCCCCUCACUCUAUCCGCCUUUCUCUUCAUCCAUUCCUCUCUUUCCAGAAAUUCACAUCACAUAGCAUCAAACAAAACAUUGCUGCUGAUGUGUUGAUUAAUAGAGCAAUAUUGCAGGGCCUCAUUAAGGGACUUGUUACUAAUUUUCUGGAUGAUGGAUUAGCCAUCAUCCAGUAUGCAGAUGAUACUAUUUUUAUGUUUGAAGAUGAUGUUGGAAGUGCUAGAAAUGUCAACUUCAUAUUAUGUGCAUUUGACUGGUCUUAAAAUUAACUUUCAUAAGUGACUCUGUUUUGGGUGUGUUGUAGAUAAAUAGGAUACAUAUGCUCAUAUUUUCACUUGUAAAUAUUUAGUGGAAGGAUUCAUAAGACAAGAAGAAAAAAAAAGAUUGCUAUCUGAAUAGGGGGUGUGGUGGGAGAAAUACCACCUGGUUCGAUGGGGGGAUGUUUGCCAUCCCAAGGAACACGUGGGCUUGGGUAUUACUGAGCUUCAGCCCAAAAAUAUUAAUUCCAUUAUGUAAAUGGAACUGGAAGUUUGAAAAUUAAGAGGGAGAAUGGCAGGAUUUGGGUAGGGCUAAAUACCGGACAAAAGGUACUUUAACUCGAUGUAAACCAAAUCCUGCACAUUCUCACAUCUGGCUGGCGUUAUACAUAUUAAGGAUUUUCUUUUAUUGUUGUUGUCAGAAAGUUGUAGGAGAUGGGAGGAAGACUAGAUUUUGGGAAGACAAUUGGAUUCGGCACUACCCACUAUGCCAAGUUUUCCUUUUGCUUGUAAAAUAUAACUUUCAGUCAUAAUGUUAUGGUGCACACUUUUUACUAGAGGAAGUGAAAGUUUGCAUUUUAGAAGGUUUCUCAGGGAAGAAACUGGCUGUGUGGCAGAAAUUCUGUAAUUGAAAGAUAUGUGUGCUCAGUGUAGGCUGAAAUGAUUACUACCUAAAUCUGGUGAUUUUUCUGUAAAGUCUUGUUAUAAUUAUCUUGUUACCAGUAAGGUUAACUUUCCUUAUAGAAUGAUGUGGGUUCUCAAGCUUCCCUUAGAAAUAAGCUUCUUUGCUGGUUGGUGAUUAGGAAUCAAGUUCUGACCAAAGAAAAUAUGGACAAAAAAGGAUGGAAGGACUCUGACCUGUGUUGAAGAAACCUGCGGAUUUCCCCUCCUGUGUUUUUGCUUAGGUUCCGACGAAGGUUGUUUUUCAGACAUCCUAAACAUCCUUUCCUUACGUGGCGGAGAUUUCCAGGAACCACGAUUCUGUUGUAUGGAAACAAAAACCACAACAUCAAAAAUGUGCA
This 4797-nucleotide long non-coding RNA is filed under the name Triticum aestivum (bread wheat). RNAcentral describes it as "long non-coding RNA (TAES_LNC008988)". Lineage: Eukaryota; Viridiplantae; Streptophyta; Magnoliopsida; Poales; Poaceae. The record is from RNAcentral.